Long non-coding RNA from Dalotia coriaria, 1688 nucleotides. RefSeq lists it as uncharacterized. NCBI's taxonomy places the organism in Eukaryota, Metazoa, Arthropoda, Insecta, Coleoptera, Staphylinidae. The transcript is spliced from 2 exons. The record is from RefSeq and is a predicted model, not a curated record.
CUAUUUUUAACCAUCACCCAAUCACAGCGCAGGAAAUCAAACCGUCAAAAAUAUUUCAAAUUUAACGCCUUUACCAUUGGUCAACCGGCGGAAAUCGCUGUAGAUUAGAACGUGUUCGUGUUGGAUCGGAAUCGUAAAGUUAGAAUUUUAAAUUUACACAAUGUGCAAUUAUCGGAUGAGUCAUGGUGCGUUUGAUACGCUCGAAAUACUUGAAGACUACUUGAAGGAGAACGAAAACGCAGACCACAAAGACAAUUUGAGCACAGCCCGUAGACAACAGAGAAAUUGUUGGCCGAUCGAUGAAUACGAAAUUGACAUCGCAUGCAGGGCGGUAAAUACAUUUCGUAAUUUCUACGACACCACAUGAGUCACCAGCGGCGUCGGCGCCGGCGGGAGUCACCCCCACAAUGUGCAAUGUUCAUUGCACUCGGAAACACUAAGCAGAGAAGACAGAGAUGUUGCCCACAAUGCACUCAAUAUUUCAUGAACACAAAUGUCAGCAAGGAGGAAAAGGCAUUAUCAUAUUAAUUGCUGCAGCAACAUGCCAGUUAUGCUUCAUUAUGGUAAUAACAUAUUAUCAAUAUGAUGAACUUUCAACUUUAUUAUGUUUUAGGUACUUGUUAAAAAUUAGUCUUAUGCAACAAAGUGGUUAUCUAUUGAAUAGUGUUUUGUAAUUAGUAGUUUCAUAAUAGGAUUUAAUUUGAAAUAAUCGUUACGAUUGCUCAACUUUUAUUUCCGUUGAGUAUUGAUAGUGAUAAUGCAACAAUGGAUGUGAUAUGGUGGUUAUAAAUAGAAAUUCGAAGCAAAAUAAUGUUGAUAACAAUAAUAAUGGUAAUAGUAUUACAUUACCAAUGAAAUGGGAUACUUAGUAGAGAGUCAAUUAGUAAAUAACAGUAAAAUGUUAAUGUAGUUGUUAAUAUAGGUUGAAAAUGCUAGAAAUUAGGUUGUUAUCAUAAAUACCUGCUAAUAUUAUAGUAGAUAUUAUUGUUUUUUAAUGUUUUAAUAUGUUUAAGUAAUUAUUUGCUAAGAACUCUCAAGAAUAUGAAUUAUUUCGGUUUUGAACUUGAAUUUUUUUCAAUGUCAAUGUCAAAACUCAGAAUAAAAACAAGAAAUAUUAAGUUAAUAAACACAAAAUAUCAUUUCAGGUCAUUUUUUGUUCGUAAAAAAUAUGUAGGAUAGGUAUAAUCAUGAAAAAGGUGCGUUUAUCAUUAAAAACAUAAAAAUCCUUAUCUAUUAUGAAUAAUCCUUUGUGAUUCAUAUCGGUAUUAAUGAAAUAAAUCAUAUUUUUGAGAUUUUUUGCGAAUAAUUACUUAAAAGAUGUAAAUACAUAAAAAAACAAUAAUAUCUCCUAUAAUAUAAGUAGGGAUUUAUGAUAACAAAGUGAUUUCGAGAAUUCUCGAUCAAUUUCAGCAUUUAUGCAUUAUUGGCGGUUAUUUCUUCAUAAUAUUUAGUAAAGAUUCGAUAAGAAUUGAUAUUUACGUUAAUAUUAUUACCAAAUUCAUAAAACUAAAGAAAAUGUCAUAAGUUUUAAUUAAAACGCAAAAAUAAGUAAAAGAACAUCCGAUAUUACUUCAUUAUCAUAGAAAUUAUCAAUAAAAGUAAAAAAUCAACACUGCGAUAAUAAUCCAAUGAAUAGUUCAUGUGUUAAUAUUGAUACGCGUUAAUUAAAAGUAAAUAUCACCUCGUUA